This 495-nucleotide ribosomal RNA is filed under the name uncultured bacterium. Its description in RNAcentral is "partial 16S ribosomal RNA". It matches the Rfam family "Bacterial small subunit ribosomal RNA", at positions 28 to 507 of the family's 1533-position model. The record is from RNAcentral.
GACGAACGCUGGCGGCGUGCCUAAUACAUGCAAGUAGAACGCUGAAGGAGGAGCUUGCUUCUCUGGAUGAGUUGCGAACGGGUGAGUAACGCGUAGGUAACCUGCCUGGUAGCGGGGGAUAACUAUUGGAAACGAUAGCUAAUACCGCAUAAUAGUAGAUGUUGCAUGACAUUUGCUUAAAAGGUGCAAUUGCAUCACUACCAGAUGGACCUGCGUUGUAUUAGCUAGUUGGUGAGGUAACGGCUCACCAAGGCAACGAUACAUAGCCGACCUGAGAGGGUGAUCGGCCACACUGGGACUGAGACACGGCCCAGACUCCUACGGGAGGCAGCAGUAGGGAAUCUUCGGCAAUGGACGGAAGUCUGACCGAGCAACGCCGCGUGAGUGAAGAAGGUUUUCGGAUCGUAAAGCUCUGUUGUAAGAGAAGAACGAGUGUGAGAGUGGAAAGUUCACACUGUGGCGGUAUCUUACCAGAAAGGGACGGCUAACUACGUG